RNAcentral lists this ribosomal RNA (252 nucleotides) under uncultured bacterium. RNAcentral describes it as "partial 16S ribosomal RNA". It matches the Rfam family "Bacterial small subunit ribosomal RNA", at positions 524 to 776 of the family's 1533-position model. The record is from RNAcentral.
GACGAAGGGGGCUAGCGUUAUUCGGAUUUACUGGGCAUAAAGCGCGCGUAGGCGGCUUGGCAAGUCGGAGGUGAAAGCCUGCAGCUCAACUGCGGUGUGCCUCCGAAACUGCCGAGCUUGAGUGCGGGAGGGGUGAUUGGAACUCCAGGUGUAGCAGUGAAAUGCGUAGAUAUCAAGUGGAACACCAGUGGCGAAGGCGAGUCCCUGGACAACUCCUGACACUGAGGCACGAAAGCCAGGGGAGCAAACAGG